Molecule: ribosomal RNA, 421 nt
Filed under: uncultured bacterium
Lineage: Bacteria
Description: bacterial SSU rRNA
Rfam family: Bacterial small subunit ribosomal RNA
Source: RNAcentral
UAAGGAAUAUUGGACAAUGGUCGCAAGACUGAUCCAGCCAUGCCGCGUGCAGGAAGACGGCCCUAUGGGUUGUAAACUGCUUUUGUACCAGAGAACACCUAUCUACGUGUAGAUAGCUGAUAGUAUGGUAAGAAUAAGCAUCGGCUAACUUCGUGCCAGCAGCCGCGGUAAGACGAAGGAUGCAAGCGUUAUCCGGCUUCAUUGGGUUUAAAGGGUGCGUAGGCGGGCUUGUAAGUCAGUGGUGAAAUCUCUCAGCUUAACUGAGAAACUGCCAUUAUACUGCAGGCCUAGAGUAUAGAUGACNUUGGCGGAAUAUGACAUGUAGUGGUGAAAUACUUAGAUAUGUCAUAGAACACCGAUUGCGAAGGCAGCUAACGAAACUAUAACUGACGCUGAGGCACGAAAGUGCGGGGAUCAAACA